Molecule: ribosomal RNA, 500 nt
Filed under: uncultured bacterium
Lineage: Bacteria
Description: partial 16S ribosomal RNA
Rfam family: Bacterial small subunit ribosomal RNA
Source: RNAcentral
AUUGAACGCUGGCGGAAUGCUUUACACAUGCAAGUCGAACGAUGAACCUUAGCUUGCUAAGGGGAUCAGUGGCGAACGGGUGAGUAAUGUAUCGGAACGUAUCCAAUAAUGGGGGAUAACUAGUCGAAAGAUUAGCUAAUACCGCAUACGUCCUACGGGAGAAAGCUAGGGACCUUCGGGCCUGGCGUUAAUGGAGCGGCCGAUAUCUGAUUAGCUAGUUGGUGGGGUAAAGGCUCACCAAGGCGACGAUCAGUAGCUGGUCUGAGAGGACGACCAGCCACACUGGAACUGAGACACGGUCCAGGAUACUACGGGAGGCAGCAGUGGGGAAUUUUGGACAAUGGGCGAAAGCCUGAUCCAGCCAUUCCGCGUGAGUGAAGAAGGCCUUCGGGUUGUAAAGCUCUUUCGCAAGGGAAGAAAACUUAAGCUCUAACAUAGCUUGAGGUUGACGGUACCUUGAUAAGAAGCACCGACUAACUACGUGCCAGCAGCCGCGGUAA